AAAACCCAAUACAUUUAUGCCAUUUGGCAGUGGAGUACACGCUUGUCCAGGGAACGAACUUGCCAAGCUGGAAAUUCUAAUUAUGACUCAUCAUCUUGUCACUAAGUUCAGGUGGGAAGUGGAAGGAUCUAAUAGUGGGAUUCAAUAUGGACCAUUUCCUGUUCCAGUGGGUGGACUACCAGCAAGAUUUUGGAAAGAAUCUACCACUUCAACCUAAAGGCACUGAGCAGCAGAAACAAAAAUGGCUGUUCUGAUUUGCAUAUCUCAAAUGAUUCAUCAAUCUUAUCCAAGAUUGUUGCUCAUCCCCAAGAAAAAAAAAACAACACAUAGGGGAUGAAAGAGAUCUCCAUUUUUCAAUUAGUACUUUCUUACUAUAAUUUUCUUUUUACUACUAAAGGUAUUCUUAAUUUUGAGUACCUUUACAGCUAGCAUUUUGUACCAUUUCAAUUUGCAAGAAUUGGAAUUCAUAAAGUGUAAAAAUUUGAUUUGAGCUUUGAAUCAUUCAUUCUUUUAGUA
Non-coding RNA from Nicotiana tabacum (common tobacco), 516 nucleotides. The record is from RefSeq and is a predicted model, not a curated record. Lineage: Eukaryota; Viridiplantae; Streptophyta; Magnoliopsida; Solanales; Solanaceae.